AAGCACACUUCAUUAUCUCAUUCUCAGCCUUAUUGAGAUUUGAGAGAUUUUUUAUGUGCCAGAAUAAGAGUUGAAGGUUAAUUAGCAGCUUGGCUGAUUCAAGUGUACUACUGCUGCCAGUCUCCUUCAGACAAGG
Molecule: small nucleolar RNA, 136 nt
Organism: Hemiscyllium ocellatum (epaulette shark)
Lineage: Eukaryota; Metazoa; Chordata; Chondrichthyes; Orectolobiformes; Hemiscylliidae
Source: RefSeq, a predicted model, not a curated record